This 403-nucleotide long non-coding RNA is filed under the name Homo sapiens (human). RNAcentral describes it as "HSALNT0252443". The record is from RNAcentral. Lineage: Eukaryota; Metazoa; Chordata; Mammalia; Primates; Hominidae.
CCUAAACCUGCUUUUAACUGAAAGUUUAUAGACGCGAUGAGCUCACUCCUGGAACCACAUCAUGAGAGGUAUUUUUCUUCAACCACUGCUGAGAUAAAGUUCUACACAUAAGAGCCACUCCUGGAAAAGACACAUCUCUGGGCUGACCAAAGAUCAUAAUCCAUCUCUGUGCAACAUGGAAGACAAGACACCUCUAAGAAAAAACAUGGCUAGGAAUCAGUUGGGAAGAUCUACUCAUCGGUGGAAGGGCCUGAGCUGGUACACAUUGUCUCUUUUCCUCCAGCAGACUGGCUGGGCUUUGUUCCUGUGGCGGAGGCAGUCAUAAAGGUGGGGGAAAGAGAGAGAGAGAUUGAGAAGAGAAUCAAGCAGCGUCUUCCGAGGCCUAAUCUGAGAUACCAAACAG